UGGUAAGGUAACGGCUUACCAAGGCGACGAUCAGUAGCCGACCUGAGAGGGUGAUCGGCCACAUUGGAACUGAGACACGGUCCAAACUCCUACGGGAGGCAGCAGUGGGGAAUAUUGCACAAUGGGCGAAAGCCUGAUGCAGCAACGCCGCGUGAGCGAUGAAGGCCUUCGGGUCGUAAAGCUCUGUCCUCAAGGAAGAUAAUGACGGUACUUGAGGAGGAAGCCCCGGCUAACUACGUGCCAGCAGCCGCGGUAAUACGUAGGGGGCUAGCGUUAUCCGGAAUUACUGGGCGUAAAGGGUGCGUAGGUGGUUUCUUAAGUCAGAGGUGAAAGGCUACGGCUCAACCGUAGUAAGCCUUUGAAACUGGGAAACUUGAGUGCAGGAGAGGAGAGUGGAAUUCCUAGUGUAGCGGUGAAAUGCGUAGAUAUUAGGAGGAACACCAGUUGCGAAGGCGGCUCUCUGGACUGUAACUGACACUGAGGCACGAAAGCGUGGGGAGCAAACAGGAUUAGAUACCCUGGUAGUCCACGCCGUAAACGAUGAGUACUAGCUGUCGGAGGUUACCCCCUUCGGUGGCGCAGCUAA
This 586-nucleotide ribosomal RNA is filed under the name uncultured bacterium. RNAcentral's name for it is "bacterial SSU rRNA". It matches the Rfam family "Bacterial small subunit ribosomal RNA", at positions 250 to 855 of the family's 1533-position model. The record is from RNAcentral.